CAGGUAGGCGUCUCUGUAAGUCAGUAGUGAAAUCCUAUGGCUCAACCAUAGAACUGCUUCUGAAACUGCAGGGAUUGAGACCGGAAGAGGAGAGCGGAAUUCCCGGUGUAAGGGUGAAAUCUGUAGAUAUCGGGAGGAACACCUGUGGCGAAAGCGGCUCUCUGGUCUGGUUCUGACGCUAAGCUGCGAAAGCUCGGGGAGCAAACAGGAUUAGAUACCCUGGUAGUCCGAGCCGUAAACGAUGAGCACUAGGUGUUGGGGGGCAACCUUUAGCGCCGCAAGAUAACUCGUUAAGUGCUCCACCGUGGGGACUACGGCCGCAAGGCUAAA
RNAcentral lists this ribosomal RNA (330 nucleotides) under uncultured bacterium. Its description in RNAcentral is "bacterial SSU rRNA". It matches the Rfam family "Bacterial small subunit ribosomal RNA", at positions 568 to 898 of the family's 1533-position model. The record is from RNAcentral.